UUUCCUACUACCUAGUUAUUAAUUAUUUUUAUUGAAGAACUUUAUUUUAGUUACCUACAAUAUGGAUAAAGUUAAAAAGAGGGCUCCUAAUUAUACCGAAGAUGAGAAACAAAACUUGUUAGAGCUUGUGGCGAAGUAUCUUCACUAGAAAAUGAAAGUAUUGAAUUAAAUGAGCUAAAAAGUAUGUGGACAGAAGAAAAGAAAAAUCUUAAAAAAACUGGUGGUGGUUCAUAUAACCCAGUCCUUACCGAUGCAGAUCAUCAAGUUGCAUCCAUAUUAGAUAAUCAAAUAAGACCAGAUGAAAAUCCAUAUGAUGAUGCAGCUGCAUAUUUUGGAGACUCUAUACCAAUUGAAGAACCAAUCAAUGAUGUUGCCGAGGCAGCAACUACUUCAGAAAUAUAUAACAAUAACAUCAAAAGUAAACAAAUAUUAAAUAAUCGAUGUGUAUUAAAAAUAAAAAAGGACACCACCAAGAUGUCCCCAAUCAGAUCUGCCGAAAUCUGUAGAAAACUUAAGAAGAAUAUAUUAAAAAAAAAAAAAACAAAAAAAAAAUGAAAUACAAAAAUUUCGAAAUGAACAGAAAAGGCAUAAAUUAGAAACUAUAAAACAAGAAUUAGAAAUACAAAUCCUAAAAAAGUCCCUGUAACCUUUACCUUUGACCAUUACAAAUAAAGUAUACUUACCACAAAUAUAUUUAU
Long non-coding RNA from Leptidea sinapis, 698 nucleotides. RefSeq lists it as uncharacterized. Lineage: Eukaryota; Metazoa; Arthropoda; Insecta; Lepidoptera; Pieridae. The record is from RefSeq and is a predicted model, not a curated record. The transcript has 5 exons.